CAACAAAACAGGAAACCGGCAGUUGACUAAAACCCAGAAAGCUGUAAAACCUCUAAGAAUUCGAAAACCAGCCUUCCACCUUGAAUCGCCAUUACUGCUGCUUUUUUUUUUGCCCAAAUUAUUUUCAACGCCCCUCGCCUCCGAAAACCCAGGAAAGAAAUCCCACCAAAACAUAAGUUCUUAAGUUUAUGGUCGCCUAAAAGAUAAGAAUCUUGGGGAGCUGUUGGCGUUUAGGAGAUUGCAGUGGACAUUCUUGUUGCUACAAAAUUACAACUUGACUAAUUUUCAAGAGGUUAAGUUAUCUUACCAUUGGCUGCAUGCAUCUGUAAAAUGACAACGAGAAUGGAGUGCCACGUAUGUGGUAAUUUUAGCUUCAAGGAUGGUGGCGAUGGCUUCUAUUAUUGCAGCGUCUGCAGCUCACAAGCUGAUGAUAUUGUUGACACUGGUGUUGAUGACGAGGACCUCUUUGGCAACAAAAUCUACAGUCAGACUGCCCAUCGUUCCCAGCCCACAACUGCUGCUGCAGCCGAGGACAUUUCUCAAUUUAAACAAACACAAUCCCAGCAAAAUUUGCUUCAAGACUUGGUGGUGGAUGCCGAUACUGAUGCAGGAGAUGGAGUUGGGCCUACUGGGCCUAGUGAUUUUGGGUCAUAUCCCGAGAAUUUAAGCUAUGAUGACUAUUAUUCAGAGAUAAGGUCAAGGUAUUUGAUGGGGUAUCAGAUAUUGAUCCAGUUGCAGUGUAAGGCUUUGGUUGAGAAGUUCAAAGUCAGCCCAUUGAUCAUUGGUCUGGUGGGACCAAUAUGGUUAAGAUAUUUAGCUUUCACAAGGAUAAUGGCUGAUGACUGGGCAGAUCAGGUUAUUCAUGAAUCAGAGUCUCAAAAACAAGGGGAUGCUGCUGAUUUUCAUCCUUCCGCUAAACAAAGUAAAGAGCCACACAAUAUAUUUGGACAGAGGGCUGUUACAUUAUGGCAUAUAUCCCUCCGCAGAACAAUCCCAUUAUCUCAUUCUUUGGCUAUAAAUUUUCUUGUUUGUCUUCUGGCAAGAGAGGCAAUCUUGCCAACAGAUAUACUAAAAUGGAUUCUUGAAGGAAAACUUCCAUAUUUUGCCGCUUUUGUUGAAAUUGAGAAACAACUUGGACCUCCUCCUAGUGCCUGUCCUAUCAGUUCUAGUCAUAUGUUUAGACCUAAAACAACUAUGUCAGCUCAGAAGUUGGAGGCACUGGCAGGGUCUAUUGCUCAAAAAAUAAAUCUAGAAUUGCCUCCAGUGAAUUUCUAUGGUAUAGCUUCCCGCUUUGUUGGGCAGUUAUCUAUUCCUGUCAAAAGCAUUCUCCAACAGGCAUUUCGAAUAUAUGAGUGGUCUAUGCCUCCUGAGUUGUAUAUAUCAGCAAACAUUUUAAGGCUACCUACACGCAUAUGGGUGAUGUCUAUACUGAUAGUGGCAAUAAGAAUUCUCUAUAAUUUAAAUGGUUCUGGAAAGUGGGAAAAGAGUUUGUCUAGUUCCAGGAGCUCAUCAUCAUUGGCUGGUAAGGAUGGAAAACAACCUACACAUGCCACUAAUAUGACUGAUGAUGCUGAGAAGGACUUGUCAUCACAUGAUUUGUGCCUUCGUGACAAUGCAUCAGAUGAUGAGGAAUUUGAAUUGGAUGCUGUAGACCUUCUAAAGAUUCUUGAAACUAAGUAUGACAAUCUCAGAGAUACAUAUGAUUAUUCAAAAGGUUUGACAUCAUAUCUGCAACACUGUAAGGAUGUGGUGUUUGCUGGUUCAGGACAAUCCUUUGAGGAUUAUGAAGAAGAAAAGAUAAUAGAGGAUUUAUGGGAGUUUUAUCAGAAUAAGGGUGUUGAAUGUCUGGAAGAUCAAGAAAUGAACUCAUUUCAAGAUAGUGGUUUGCACCAAAAGAGAUCCAUGGACGACAUGAGAAACAUACAAAUAAAAAACAAAGAGUGUCGAUACUGCAAGAACAACCUAUCAGAAGAUGGCUCACAAUAUAGUAUGGAUGAGAAGAACUAUUCUUCCAGGUUUGAAGAUUCAUCCCAUGAAGGUCGAUCUUCAAUGGAGUCCCGCAAGGUUAAAGCAAUAAGAGAACUGAAAUUAGAUAUGGAAACGAACAGAUUUGCCUAUAUUCCUCCUAGGCAAGUAAUUAUGAGUCAAAGAUACAUCAGUUAUAAUAGGAGAAGAAUAGAAGGUGCUUUUGUUUAUGCUGCCCAUGCAGACUAUUAUAUCUUACUUCGUGCCUGUGCAAGGGUAGCCCAAGUUGAUGUUAGAAGCCUGCACAUAGGUGUAUUGGAGUUUGAAAAGAGAUUGAAGCAACUGGAAGAGAAAAUGGGCAAAUGCUUGCAUCUGAAAAUACCCAGCGGCAGUUCUGGUUUCUGUGCUAAUGAAGAUGAUUAAAGUCCUACGAAUGACUGAACUAUUUUUGAAGUAACAGGAUGUCCGUUGGUGUUCUCUCAUCACUUUUCCCCAAGAAAUUGAACUACUGGAAACUCAUCCUUUGUAUGGGAAGCCCAAAAAGUAUGUCUUUGCUUGUGGAAACAUUGACUAGCACCUGAAUAUGUAAAUAGACCGGUGAACUACUGCAAUUUUGCUAGCUACAUAACCCAGACUGAUUCUCAAGUAUGGCAUGCUGCUAUGUGAUACAAGUUUUAAUAGCUAUGAGCAUUCAGGGUGAUAUCAGCUUUACUGUGAAUAGUAAAGGAGAAAGGUCAAUAGUCUAACAGGAGAAACUGAAAUGCGCUGCUUUUUUGUCACUUAUGGGUGGAAAAGACCCAAGUCUUUGCAGGCCUGUGUACUUACCUACCCUCGAAGUUGCAAGUACAGAGCUCUUGGCAGGUCUCAUUUGGAACUUGCCAUCACAAUGCACCAAUCGAAAGCAUCCUUGAAGUAUGCAGGUUCUUCAGAGAAGCUCUGCUUGGUCACAAUGUGUGCAUGUAUCUCGAAAACAUGUUGUGGAGAAAUUUUUGGACAGGGGUUUGGAGGCAAAACUGUGGAAACCACAUUUAGCAUAUGUCUAGUUUGAGAAGAAACAUCUUUAAAAUAGGACGUUACUGACGUUUGAUUAAUGAACUUACCUCUAUAUGGCAUAUACUGCAUAGAGUAAGGAAUGCCGGACCUCAGACAGUAAUGAGCUACCUACAUGCUAAAUACCAGUAAUGGUUCUGGAUUAUGCAGUGGUUUGAGAACUAGUGAUUUUUACACAACAUGCCAUAACCAUUUCUAUAAAUUCACAUGCUGAACGGUUUUGCUAGAAACGGUUGGUGCAUAAAACAUACCGGUUGAAACCCUGUGCAUUGUAGAGAUGAAGGAUUAAAAAAACCGAGACAUUGAAGUUCAACCAUGUUGCUAAUAGUUCUUUGUGUUAUCAAGAGCAGUCUUGAAGCCUUGUGCAUUUUAGAGAUGAGGAUUGCAAAACGGGAUAUUUGUUUCCUAUUUCGUAUUGUACUUCAUGUCAAAUUUUCAUUUACGCUUUGAUGGU
Coffea arabica (coffee) is the source of this 3469-nucleotide RNA transcript. It is a transcript of the gene named TATA box-binding protein-associated factor RNA polymerase I subunit B, with no coding region annotated. The record is from RefSeq and is a predicted model, not a curated record. NCBI's taxonomy places the organism in Eukaryota, Viridiplantae, Streptophyta, Magnoliopsida, Gentianales, Rubiaceae.